Cinara cedri is the source of this 377-nucleotide non-coding RNA. Lineage: Eukaryota; Metazoa; Arthropoda; Insecta; Hemiptera; Aphididae. The record is from the annotation of a GenBank genome assembly.
UUUGAAGAAUAAAUAUUUAAUAUUUUGACAACAUAACUUAUACAAUAUAUUACGCUCUUUUUUUCUAAUGAAACACAAGAAUAACUAAUUCCAAAAGAGUUUGGAACCGUAGUAUCACAAAAAAAAUCUUGAAUAUAUUUCGUAAUGUAACGUUUAUUAUUUACAUAGUAAAUCCGCCUGGAUCCUAAUUUUUGAAAUGUAUUGUACAUUAUUUGACAUAUUUAUCGCAUUCAGUAUGAUGAUAAAAUCAUUGAAGGCAAUUAAUUUAUAUUGAAAUUUUUAUUUUUAAACUCGUAUGGAUAAAAUUAUAUCAUUUAUCGAAUGCGAUAAAGUGUGUCACAUAAACCACAGUAGUUCAUGUCAAAACAAUUUUGCAU